UACAGAGGUCUCAAGCGUUGUUCGGAUUCAUUGGGCGUAAAGGGUGCGUAGGCGGCGCGGUAAGUCGGGUGUGAAAUCUCGGAGCUUAACUCCGAAACUGCAUUCGAUACUGCCGUGCUUGAGGACUGGAGAGGAGACUGGAAUUUACGGUGUAGCAGUGAAAUGCGUAGAUAUUACCAGGAACACCAAUGGCGAAGGCAGCUUGCUGGGCUACUCCUGACACUGAGGUACGAAAGCGUGGGGAGCGAACAGG
Molecule: ribosomal RNA, 253 nt
Filed under: uncultured bacterium
Lineage: Bacteria
Description: partial 16S ribosomal RNA
Rfam family: Bacterial small subunit ribosomal RNA
Source: RNAcentral